GACGAACGCUGGCGGCGUGCUUAACACAUGCCAGUCGAACGGAAAGGCCCUGCUUUUGUGGGGUGCUCGAGUGGCGAACGGGUGAGUAACACGUGAGUAACCUGCCCUUGACUUUGGGAUAACUUCAGGAAACUGGGGCUAAUACCGGAUAGGAGCUCCUGCUGCAUGGUGGGGGUUGGAAAGUUUCGGCGGUUGGGGAUGGACUCGCGGCUUAUCAGCUUGUUGGUGGGGUAGUGGCUUACCAAGGCUUUGACGGGUAGCCGGCCUGAGAGGGUGACCGGCCACAUUGGGACUGAGAUACGGCCCAGACUCCUACGGGAGACAGCAGUGGGGAAUAUUGCACAAUGGGCGGAAGCCUGAUGCAGCAACGCCGCGUGCGGGAUGACGGCCUUCGGGUUGUAAACCGCUUUCGCCUGUGACGAAGCGUGAGUGACGGUAAUGGGUAAAGAAGCACCGGCUAACUACGUG
Molecule: ribosomal RNA, 468 nt
Filed under: uncultured bacterium
Lineage: Bacteria
Description: partial 16S ribosomal RNA
Rfam family: Bacterial small subunit ribosomal RNA
Source: RNAcentral